RNAcentral lists this ribosomal RNA (664 nucleotides) under uncultured bacterium. RNAcentral's name for it is "bacterial SSU rRNA". It matches the Rfam family "Bacterial small subunit ribosomal RNA", at positions 59 to 712 of the family's 1533-position model. The record is from RNAcentral.
AAGUCGAACGGUAACAGGAAGCAGCUUGCUGCUUCGCUGACGAGUGGCGGACGGGUGAGUAAUGUCUGGGAAACUGCCUGAUGGAGGGGGAUAACUACUGGAAACGGUAGCUAAUACCGCAUAAUGUCGCAAGACCAAAGAGGGGGACCUUUGGGCCUCUUGCCAUCGGAUGUGCCCAGAUGGGAUUAGCUUGUUGGUGGGGUAACGGCUCACCAAGGCGACGAUCCCUAGCUGGUCUGAGAGGAUGACCAGCCACACUGGAACUGAGACACGGUCCAGACUCCUACGGGAGGCAGCAGUGGGGAAUAUUGCACAAUGGGCGCAAGCCUGAUGCAGCCAUGCCGCGUGUAUGAAGAAGGCCUUCGGGUUGUAAAGUACUUUCAGCGGGGAGGAAGGGAGUAAAGUUAAUACCUUUGCUCAUUGACGUUACCCGCAGAAGAAGCACCGGCUAACUCCGUGCCAGCAGCCGCGGUAAUACGGAGGGUGCAAGCGUUAAUCGGAAUUACUGGGCGUAAAGCGCACGCAGGCGGUUUGUUAAGUCAGAUGUGAAAUCCCCGGGCUCAACCUGGGAACUGCAUCUGAUACUGGCAAGCUUGAGUCUCGUAGAGGGGGGUAGAAUUCCAGGUGUAGCGGUGAAAUGCGUAGAGAUCUGGAGGAAUACCGG